UUAAGUCUAGUGGCGCACGGGUGCGUAACACGCGAGCAAUCUGCCGGGAAGUGGGGGAUAGCUCGCCGAAAGGCGAAUUAAUACCGCAUAUGGCCAAGGGGGACAUCCCUCUGACGCCAAAGUAGCAAUGCGCUUCCUGAUGAGCUCGCGGCCUAUCAGCUCGUUGGUGAGGUAACGGCUCACCAAGGCUUUGACGGGUAGCUGGUCUGAGAGGACGACCAGCCACACUGGGACUGAGACACGGCCCAGACACCUACGGGUGGCAGCAGUCGAGAAUUUUUCACAAUGGGGGCAACCCUGAUGGAGCGACGCCGCGUGGAGGAUGAAGGUUUUCGGAUUGUAAACUCCUGUCAUGUGGGAACAAGAAAGUGAUAGUACCACAAGAGGAAGAGACGGCUAACUCUGUGCCAGCAGCCGCGGUAAUACAGAGGUCUCAAGCGUUGUUCGGAUUCAUUGGGCGUAAAGGGUGCGUAGGCGGCGAGGUAAGUCGAGUGUGAAAUCUCGGGGCUCAACCCCGAAACUGCACUCGAUACUACUUUGCUCGAGGACUGUAGAGGAGAAUGGAAUUCACGGUGUAGCAGUGAAAUGCGUAGAUAUCGUGAGGAAGACCAGUUGCGAAGGCGAUUCUCUGGGCAGUUCCUGACGCUGAGGCACGAAGGCUAGGGGAGCAAACGGGAUUAGAUACCCCCGGUAGUCCUAGCAGUAAACGGUGCACGUUUGGUGUGGGAGGAUUCGACCCCUUCCGUGCCGGAGCUAACGCGUUAAACGUGCCGCCUGGGAAGUACGGUCGCAAGAUUAAAACUCAAAGAAAUUGACGGGGGCCCGCACAAGCGGUGGAGUAUGUGGCUUAAUUCGAUGCAACGCGAAGAACCUUACCUGCCCUUGACAUGUAUCGUGAAAAUCGGUGAAAGCCGGUGACUGCCCGCAAGGGUGAUGGGGAUACACAGGUGCUGCAUGGCUGUUGUCAGCUCGUGUCGUGAGAUGUUGGGUUAAGUCCCGCAACGAGCGCAACCCCUGUGAUCUGUUGCCACCGGCGCAAGCCGAGCACUCUGAUCAGACUGCCCUGUGAAACGGGGAGGAAGGUGGGGACGACGUCAAGUCAKYAUGGCCCUUACGGCCAGGGCUGCACACGUACUACAAUGCCCAGGAC
Molecule: ribosomal RNA, 1150 nt
Filed under: uncultured bacterium
Lineage: Bacteria
Description: bacterial SSU rRNA
Rfam family: Bacterial small subunit ribosomal RNA
Source: RNAcentral